AUCGUUCAUCUCCCCCAAGCACUGAAUAGGUGGGUGAUAUUUUAGCUGUUUGAGGAAGACGGAAGUAGGGAAUUUUCCCGAAGGAACGCACA
Molecule: non-coding RNA, 92 nt
Organism: Planktothrix serta PCC 8927
Lineage: Bacteria; Bacillati; Cyanobacteriota; Cyanophyceae; Oscillatoriales; Microcoleaceae
Source: Rfam